RNAcentral lists this ribosomal RNA (130 nucleotides) under Scleroderma cepa. RNAcentral's name for it is "partial 28S ribosomal RNA". It matches the Rfam family "Eukaryotic large subunit ribosomal RNA", at positions 1 to 128 of the family's 3401-position model. The record is from RNAcentral. RNAcentral also lists the same sequence under 1 other name. Lineage: Eukaryota; Fungi; Basidiomycota; Agaricomycetes; Boletales; Sclerodermataceae.
CUUGACCUCAAAUCAGGUAGGACUACCCGCCGAACUUAAGCAUAUCAAUAAGCGGAGGAAAAGAAACUAACGAGGAUUCCCCUAGUAACUGCGAGUGAAGCGGGAAGAGCUCAAAUUUCGAAUCUGGCGG